This is a long non-coding RNA of Poecilia reticulata (guppy), 493 nucleotides long. RefSeq lists it as uncharacterized. The record is from RefSeq and is a predicted model, not a curated record. Lineage: Eukaryota; Metazoa; Chordata; Actinopteri; Cyprinodontiformes; Poeciliidae.
UUCGUUCCAGAAAUAGACCUUCUGUGAUCUGCUCCAGUCUAAGCCCCUUGUUGUCUUCCUCGUCAGAUUAUCCUGCCGCCUCCUCGUUGCUCUGGUGUGAUCCAUUGUCGCUGGGUUCUGAGUGAGUGUGCCUUUUCCCCUUCGUGGAUCAUCAACCUCCUGUGUGUUUCCCCGACGCUGUCGGUGUUACCGGUCAGACGCCACUCCUCGUGUGUGUGCGUUUUUCCCCCCUCGUUGAUCCAUCUCCGGUGGAUUCCCCUUUGGGACGCCACGGGUGUGGAGACCCACGCCCGAACCCCCUGGAGAACAAACUCUGACGGAUCUAGUUCCAGGCCGUCCUGUCAAGUGAAGCUACCUGACCGCUCUCCUACAAGCUCACUGCCUUCGCUCCACUCCGUCUACAUCACCUACCUUCCAAUAAGACGACCCGGUCCGCUGAUCCAGUAUUCACUAUCUACUACCUGUUCUUUCAAUAAACCAUCAUUGUAUUUUA